CCUACGGGCGGCAGCAGUGAGGAAUAUUGGUCAAUGGUCGGGAGACUGAACUAGCCACGCCGCGUGAGGGAUGAAGGUACAGAGUAUCGUAAACCUCUUUUGUCAGGGAACAAAGGCGGGGACGUGUCCCCGGAUGAGUGUACCUGAAGAAAAAGCAUCGGCUAACUCCGUGCCAGCAGCCGCGGUAAUACGAAGGAUGCGAGCGUUAUCCGGAUUUAUUGGGUUUAAAGGGUGGGGAGGCGGGCUGUUAAGUCAGCGGGAAAAGCCCGGGGAUCAACCCCGGCCCGCCGUUGAAACUGGCAGUCUCGAGUUGGAGAGAGGUAUGCGGAAUGCGCGGUGUAGCGGUGAAAUGCAUAGAUAUCGCGCAGAACUCCGAUUGCGAAGGCAGCAUGCCGGCUCCACACUGACGCUGAGGCACGAAAGCGUGGGUAUCGAACAGGAUUAGAUACCCCAGUAGUC
RNAcentral lists this ribosomal RNA (459 nucleotides) under uncultured bacterium. Its description in RNAcentral is "partial 16S ribosomal RNA". It matches the Rfam family "Bacterial small subunit ribosomal RNA", at positions 338 to 795 of the family's 1533-position model. The record is from RNAcentral.